RNAcentral lists this ribosomal RNA (190 nucleotides) under Mesalina guttulata. RNAcentral's name for it is "partial 12S ribosomal RNA". Lineage: Eukaryota; Metazoa; Chordata; Lepidosauria; Squamata; Lacertidae. The record is from RNAcentral.
AAAGGCUGACGUACUUCGAUAGCCCCCUCACCACGUUAUCCGCCAGAGAACUACUAGUGAAAACUUAAAACUCAAAGGACUUGGCGGUGUUUCAUUUCCACCUAAAGGAGCCUGUCCUAUAAUCGAUGCCCCCCGUUCCACCCAACCUUUACUUGCACAUUCAGCCUAUAUACCGCCUUUUUCAGCAAAC